UACGUAGGGGGCUAGCGUUGUCCGGAUUUGUUGGGCGUAAAGAGCGUGUAGGCGGCCAGGUAGGUCUGGUGUGAAAACUCGAGGCUUAACCUCGAGAUGUCAUCGGAAACCAUUUGGCUAGAGUCCGGAAGAGGAGAGUGGAAUUCCUGGUGUAGCGGUGAAAUGCGCAGAUAUCAGGAAGAACACCAAUGGCGAAAGCAGCUCUCUGGGACGGUACUGACGCUGAGACGUGAAAGCGUGGGGAGCAAACAGG
This 253-nucleotide ribosomal RNA is filed under the name uncultured bacterium. RNAcentral describes it as "partial 16S ribosomal RNA". It matches the Rfam family "Bacterial small subunit ribosomal RNA", at positions 524 to 776 of the family's 1533-position model. The record is from RNAcentral.